Non-coding RNA from Oryctolagus cuniculus (rabbit), 1844 nucleotides. Lineage: Eukaryota; Metazoa; Chordata; Mammalia; Lagomorpha; Leporidae. The record is from RefSeq and is a predicted model, not a curated record.
GCCCCCGGCGCUGCUCCUCGCCGCUCCCGCCCGGCGCGCCCAGGGCCGGGGGCUGUGGGGCCACCGAGCCGCCCGGACGCUGGAGUCCCGAGUCACCUCACGGCUCCUUCUGCUGCCUCCCCUGCCCCACCACCGCACCUUCCAAGUCCUGGGAAAUCCAGAGCCGCCUCGUCAACUCAGAUUUAUCACCAAACAAAGAUUUAUUGUGACUGUAUCUUGACUCCAGCUUCACACCCUGGGGCCAUGGUAUGGCUCACCAUUGCCUGGGGCCAGUGUGACUCUGAGAAAAUGUGAAAUUGCAUAUGUGGCUCACAUUGUUCUCCUGUUGGCAGCUCUGUUCGAGAGCAGAGGAGCCACCAGCUCGACUUGAGUCUCUUCUCCAUCGUCAUCUCCAGGGGCCUCCUGACUACAGACUUCCUCUGCUACAAUCCACUUGACUGAUCACACUGCCUCAAGACACAAUUUUCUACACAUUGCCCCUGGUUCAACCCCCUGGACAAAAUCCCAGCUCUGGACCUUGGCAUCCAAGGUCCUUCGCGAUGCAGCCCUGGCUACCGUUGCCUUAUCUCUGAGUCACUCUAUGAGCCCAUCUCGCUCUCCAGCCAAAAGGUGUCCUUGGCCCUCCACAUGUCUUGCUCAUUGCUCAGGCCUCCUCUGCUAAGUCUCUGGCCUCGUGGGCCCUGCCUGGCCCCCCAGGUUGUCUUGGGAAGACUCCUGAGCACUCCUGGUCCUCACCAGUCCAACAUAGCGUUGGCUCCAUCCUCAUUCUCCUGCUGGUUUUGUUGCUUAUUUUUCCUAUGUAAAGAUUGUAUCCCAACUAGACUAUACUAAACACGAAAAGGACUUUCUCUCCUAGCAUUUCAUACCUUCUAGAAAACAUACCCAAGCACCUUCCGCGUCACACAUAGUCAAUAAAAGAGCUGACACAAAUUGCUUAGGGCAUCCACAGUGCUUCUGAAGUGGUCAGGCCACGGCGACCUUCUCUUUCUGGAAUCCUGGGUAUCUUGCCUCCUCUCCGGGCCGUUUAUCACACUGUUGGUACUUAACAGGACAACUUGGAAAUGUUCCAUGAAGGUAUACAGAGCCUCCUUCCCCGCCACGUCCCACCCAGGAUGACCACAAUUUAUCUCACUGUGCUCUACUGAUGACCGUUUAAAUUAUUCCCAGUCUUUCACUAGAAAAAAAAAAAAAAAAAAAGCGGCUCUGAAAAUCUUGAACCUCUGUGGAUAUUUCUGCAGGGUAAGUCUCUUAAGGUGAAACUAUUAAGACAACAGGCAUGUUUGUAGUUUCAAGAUAUAUUUUCUGGCUGGCGCUGUGGGGCAGCAGGUUAAAGCCCCGGCCCGAAGUGCUGUCAUCCCAUGUGGGUAAUGGUUCUAGUCCAGGCUGCUCCUCUUCCAGUCCAGCUCUCUGCUAUGGCCUGGAAAGGCAGUGGAAGACAGCUCUCAAGUCCUCGGGCCCCUGCACCCACGUGAGAGACCUGGAAGAAGCUCCUGGCUCCUGGUUUUAGAGUGGUUCAGUUCCAGCCGUUUCGGCCAUUUGGGGAGUAACCCAGCGGAUAGAAGACCUCUCUUUUCUCUGUGUUUCUAUCUCUCUCUGUAACUCUGUCUUUCAAAUAAAUAAAAAUAAACUUUUUUUAAAAAAGAUAUAUUUUCAUAUUUCCCUCUUUGAAGCUGUUUGAGAAUGGACACUCCCCAGUGAUGUACGACAGGUAAGUGAUUGUGUUCAGUGUUUUCAAUGGAUUCUAAGGAGCAGAAGAACCAUAUUUGAUUAAACCAUUCUCUGACUUUUCUGUUUGGGCUUUGUCUCUUUUCGAUAGAUAAACCUACUUUGUUGUCCUAGAAACU